Molecule: long non-coding RNA, 254 nt
Filed under: Lathyrus oleraceus (garden pea)
Lineage: Eukaryota; Viridiplantae; Streptophyta; Magnoliopsida; Fabales; Fabaceae
Description: Pisum sativum (pea) long non-coding RNA (PSAT_LNC027159)
Source: RNAcentral
GAUAACAAAUGGUUUUACAACUCGGCAUUCAUGUUGUUGUUUUUCUUUGUGCAAGAAUAUUUUAUGGGGUGUCGUCCAAUCCUGACUCUUUUUCACUCAAAUUCACAUUAAUGCAUGAGUCUAUUUCUAAGGCAAGUGCUUAUUCUUCAUUUCUCUAUAUAUUUUUUUUCUUCAUUCUUUUUUCUCUUUUUUUUUCUCUUUUUUUUUCUUCCGGUAGAAGCGGAUGUUUCUACAUAGCUUUUCUUGGUUUCUUU